AGGAUCAGUGAUGACCGCUAGAGUCGUAUGAGUCACGGAUGAUGACUACAGUGCUCGAGUCUGAGGUCCAA
This 71-nucleotide small nucleolar RNA is filed under the name Chinchilla lanigera (long-tailed chinchilla). Its description in RNAcentral is "Small nucleolar RNA SNORD113/SNORD114 family (ENSCLAG00000019171.1)". It matches the Rfam family "Small nucleolar RNA SNORD113/SNORD114 family". Rfam says of the family: The imprinted human domain at 14q32 contains two clusters of tandemly repeated small nucleolar RNAs named 14q(I) and 14q(II) snoRNAs. These two clusters are named SNORD113 and SNORD114 respectively in the HGNC approved gene symbol nomenclature. The record is from Rfam by way of RNAcentral. Lineage: Eukaryota; Metazoa; Chordata; Mammalia; Rodentia; Chinchillidae.